UACGGAGGGUGCAAGCGUUAUCCGGAUUCAUUGGGUUUAAAGGGUGCGUAGGCGGGUUAUUAAGUCAGUGGUGAAAGCCCAUAGCUCAACUAUGGAACUGCCAUUGAUACUGAUAGCCUUGAAUAUGAUUGAAGUGGGCGGAAUAUGACAUGUAGCGGUGAAAUGCAUAGAUAUGUCAUAGAACACCGAUAGCGAAGGCAGCUCACUAAGUCAUCAUUGACGCUGAGGCACGAAAGCGUGGGGAGCGAAC
This 250-nucleotide ribosomal RNA is filed under the name uncultured bacterium. Its description in RNAcentral is "partial 16S ribosomal RNA". It matches the Rfam family "Bacterial small subunit ribosomal RNA", at positions 524 to 773 of the family's 1533-position model. The record is from RNAcentral.